Non-coding RNA from Pangasius djambal, 72 nucleotides. The record is from the annotation of a GenBank genome assembly. NCBI's taxonomy places the organism in Eukaryota, Metazoa, Chordata, Actinopteri, Siluriformes, Pangasiidae.
GAAGUGGUAGCUCAGUGGUGAAGUUUUAGACUACUAAUCGGAAGGUCAUGAGUUCAAUCCUCAACACCACCA